This 559-nucleotide ribosomal RNA is filed under the name uncultured bacterium. Its description in RNAcentral is "bacterial SSU rRNA". It matches the Rfam family "Bacterial small subunit ribosomal RNA", at positions 42 to 698 of the family's 1533-position model. The record is from RNAcentral.
GCGUGCUUAACACAUGCAAGUCGAACGAAGUGGCGAACGGGUGAGUAACACGUGAGUAACUGCCCUUGACUCUGGGAUAACCUCCGGAAACGGAAGCUAAUACCGGAUAAGGAUGGACUCGCGGCCUAUCAGGUAGUUGGUGAGGUAACGGCUCACCAAGCCUACGACGGGUAGCCGGCCUGAGAGGGGACCGGCCACACUGGGCUGAGACACGGCCCAGACUCCUACGGGAGGCAGCAGUGGGGAAUAUUGCACAAUGGGCGCAAGCCUGAUGCAGCAACGCCGCGUGAGGGAUGACGGCCUUCGGGUUGUAAACCUCUUUUAGUAGGGAAGCGGUACCUGCAGAAAAAGCACCGGCUAACUACGUGCCAGCAGCCGCGGUAAUACGUAGGGUGCGAGCGUUGUCCGGAAUUAUUGGGCGUAAAGAGCUCGUAGGCGGUCUGUCGCGUCUGCUGUGAAAACCCGAGGCUCAACCUCGGGCCUGCAGUGGGUACGGGCAGACUAGAGUGCGGUAGGGGAGAAUGGAAUUCCUGGUGUAGCGGUGGAAUGCGCAGAUAUC